UGCCUGAUCAGACUCAGGAAAGCGUGACCUGU
Molecule: non-coding RNA, 32 nt
Filed under: Homo sapiens (human)
Lineage: Eukaryota; Metazoa; Chordata; Mammalia; Primates; Hominidae
Source: RNAcentral